RNAcentral lists this ribosomal RNA (517 nucleotides) under uncultured eukaryote. RNAcentral describes it as "bacterial SSU rRNA". It matches the Rfam family "Eukaryotic small subunit ribosomal RNA", at positions 592 to 1063 of the family's 1831-position model. The record is from RNAcentral.
CAAUAGCGUAUAUUAAAGUUGUUGCGGUUAAAAAGCUCGUAGUUGGAGUUCUGCCAGGUGCCGCCUGUCCGCCCCAGUGGUGAGUACGUGGCGCGCAUUUGGCCCUUUCAAGGGGAGCGUAUCUGCACUUAACUGUGUGGUGCGGGAUCCUUGACUUUUACUUUGAGGAAAUAAGAGUGUUCCAAGCAGGCUCUCGUCGUGCAUAGCUCAGCAUGGAAUAAUAGCAUUGGACCUCGAUUCUAAGCUGUUGGUUGCCAGAAACGAGGUAAUGAUGAAGAGGGAUAGUUGGGGGCAUUCGUAUUUAACUGUCAGAGGUGAAAUUCUUGGAUUUGUUAAAGACGAACUACUGCGAAAGCAUUCUCGACGAUGGUUAUGUUUUUACUAUUAGAACGUAACUAAAGGGGAAACGUAAACGGUUAAGGGGAAUUCGAAAAGUACUAGGAAUUACCCAAGUACUUACCGGUACGUACGUAGGACCCUAAGGGCCCAAACGGACCAACGGGGAACUAAGGGGGGG